UUGAAUAAAAAGGAAGAAACGAAAUUAAACAUGCACAAUCUGAAAUUUUUCCCACUCAAUAACAGUACACUAUAUAACAAUUAUUAAAAACAAAAAAUAGGUACAAAUUUGCACAAGUUCUGGUGAAUGAAGCAUCCAAUUUGGCCUUGCUGUAAUCUCUCAUCAAAACAAAAACUGAAUGAAGCUCAAGCAAAGAUCUUGUAAAUACAAUAAGAGGAUGAGAUUAAAAUUGAAUGAGCAAGCUUUAUAGAGAGGAGAUGAGUAAGCGAAUUUUGGCAAAUGGAAGAGUAUGAAGGUAGUGAUGACGGUGGCUAUCUGGAUCUUAGAUUUGGUUUUGGGUAGGUGAGGGCAGGUGGGGAAGGGGUCGAGAAGAAAAAGAAUCUUCUUUUUUCUUUUGAAUCUGGAAUGCCGACGACUUUGAGACGGUAGUGCCGACGAUGGCAGGGUCUACCAGCAAUCGGGUGUGUGUGGUUUUGGAUUUAGGUUGAUGGAGUUGGGGAAAAAGGACGUAGGGUGAGGGGCUGUGAUUUUUUAUUUUUGAUUACAUAGGCAAAAUGUGUUCUGACCAAAUUGACCUUGCUUUAUUUGAUCAAAAUUAUAAUUUUUUUCCAUUUAUGUGGUCAACUGACAAUUUUUUGGGUCAAAUAGAAGGAAACCGUUAUUUUGGACUUGUUUAGUCAAUUUUUUAAAGGUUAAAUACCUAUAGUGGCACAAAUGAAAUGUUUGGGUCAAAUCUGCUAAUAAACGAAAUAUUUGGUAUCGUGACUGCAAUUUUCCCUUAUAUUAAUAAUAUUGAAUUUUAAAUUUAUUGUAUAUAUAUAAUUUUGAUUAUUAUUCAUUUUUAUU
RNAcentral lists this long non-coding RNA (846 nucleotides) under Olea europaea (common olive). RNAcentral's name for it is "long non-coding RNA (OEUR_LNC011232)". The record is from RNAcentral. Lineage: Eukaryota; Viridiplantae; Streptophyta; Magnoliopsida; Lamiales; Oleaceae.